RNAcentral lists this ribosomal RNA (229 nucleotides) under uncultured bacterium. RNAcentral's name for it is "partial 16S ribosomal RNA". It matches the Rfam family "Bacterial small subunit ribosomal RNA", at positions 568 to 796 of the family's 1533-position model. The record is from RNAcentral.
UCCGUAGGCGGGCAGCUCAGUCAGUGGUGAAAGUUUGCAGCUCAACUGUAAAAUUGCCAUCGAUACUGGUUGUCUUGAAUUAAUGUGAAGUGGUUAGAAUAUGUAGUGUAGCGGUGAAAUGCAUAGAUAUUACAUGGAAUACCAAUUGCGAAGGCAGAUCACUAACAUUAUAUUGACGCUGAUGGACGAAAGCGUGGGGAGCGAACAGGAUUAGAUACCCUGGUAGUCC